RNAcentral lists this transfer RNA (72 nucleotides) under Myxococcales bacterium. RNAcentral describes it as "tRNA-Thr". It matches the Rfam family "tRNA". From Rfam's summary of the family: Transfer RNA (tRNA) molecules are approximately 80 nucleotides in length. Their secondary structure includes four short double-helical elements and three loops (D, anti-codon, and T loops). Further hydrogen bonds mediate the characteristic L-shaped molecular structure. tRNAs have two regions of fundamental functional importance: the anti-codon, which is responsible for specific mRNA codon recognition, and the 3' end, to which the tRNAs corresponding amino acid is attached (by aminoacyl-tRNA synthetases). tRNAs cope with the degeneracy of the genetic code in two manners: having more than one tRNA (with a specific anti-codon) for a particular amino acid; and 'wobble' base-pairing, i.e. permitting non-standard base-pairing at the 3rd anti-codon position. RNAcentral also lists the same sequence under 1 other name. Lineage: Bacteria; Pseudomonadati; Myxococcota; Myxococcia; Myxococcales. The record is from RNAcentral.
GCCCACGUAGCACAGAGGCAGUGCACUUCCUUGGUAAGGAAGGGGUCCCGAGUUCGAUUCUCGGCGUGGGCU